This 70-nucleotide transfer RNA is filed under the name Odontobutis sinensis. RNAcentral's name for it is "tRNA-Ile". It matches the Rfam family "tRNA". Rfam says of the family: Transfer RNA (tRNA) molecules are approximately 80 nucleotides in length. Their secondary structure includes four short double-helical elements and three loops (D, anti-codon, and T loops). The record is from RNAcentral. Lineage: Eukaryota; Metazoa; Chordata; Actinopteri; Gobiiformes; Odontobutidae.
GGAGCCGUGCCUGAAAUAAAGGACCACUUUGAUAGAGUGAACUAUGGAGGUUAAAAUCCGCCCGACUCCU